RNAcentral lists this small RNA (583 nucleotides) under Pongo abelii (Sumatran orangutan). Its description in RNAcentral is "retained intron". Lineage: Eukaryota; Metazoa; Chordata; Mammalia; Primates; Hominidae. The record is from RNAcentral.
GGGACCGAACACACCGGGCCGGUUGGGGCCCCGCUCGCCGGCGGGAGCCACCGGAGCCCCGGCCACGAAGGGGUGCGACCCCCCGCCGGCCCCGCCCUCCCGGUUGCGGCCUGGCCAAUCAGAGCGGCUCUUACUGGCGGGUGGGCUGAGCCGGCCCAGCUGCUCGGAGGCUCUGGCAUGUCGGUUCCCGAUUCUGGUCCCCGGCCCCCAGCAGCGCCUGCCCCCUUCCCACCGGGGCCCCCCAUGAUGCCACCACCCUUCAUGCCCCCUCCAGGGAUCCCCCCACCCUUUCCUCCGAUGGGGCUACCCCCCAUGAGUCAGAGACCACCAGCUAUACCCCCCAUGCCACCUGGCAUCCUGCCCCCAAUGCUUCCACCAAUGGGGGCACCACCACCACUCACACAGAUACCAGGAAUGGUACCUCCGAUGAUGCCAGGAAUGCUGAUGCCAGCGGUGCCUGUCACCGCAGCGGUAAGCACUAGGGGCCAGCAGGUAGCAGGCUCUGCCCUGCAGUCCCGUGAGUCUGAUUUGGAAUGCAGGACUAUGACCUCCAUUCUUUCCCUCUUCUCAUCGCAUCCACCCA